GACGAACGCUGGCGGCGUGCCUAAUACAUGCAAGUAGAACGCACAGUUUAUACCGUAGCUUGCUACACCAUAAACUGUGAGUUGCGAACGGGUGAGUAACGCGUAGGUAACCUGCCCGGUAGCGGGGGAUAACUAUUGGAAACGAUAGCUAAUACCGCAUAAUAUUAAUUAUUGCAUGAUAAUUGAUUGAAAGAUGCAAUUGCAUCACUACCAGAUGGGCCUGCGUUGUAUUAGCUAGUAGGUGAGGUAACGGCUCACCUAGGCGACGAUACAUAGCCGAACUGCGAGGAUGAUCGGCCACACUGGGACUGAGACACGGCCCAGAGUCCUACGGGAGGCAGCAGUAGGGAAUCUUCGGCAAUGGACGAAAGUCUGACCGAGCAACGCCGCAGUAGUGAGCAAGGUUUUCGGAUCGUAAAGCUCUGUUGUAAGAGAAGAACGGGUGUGAGAGUGGAAAGUUCACACUGUGACGGUAUCUUACCAGAAAGGGACGGCUAACUACGUG
This 505-nucleotide ribosomal RNA is filed under the name uncultured bacterium. RNAcentral describes it as "partial 16S ribosomal RNA". It matches the Rfam family "Bacterial small subunit ribosomal RNA", at positions 28 to 507 of the family's 1533-position model. The record is from RNAcentral.